Molecule: long non-coding RNA, 1263 nt
Organism: Papaver somniferum (opium poppy)
Lineage: Eukaryota; Viridiplantae; Streptophyta; Magnoliopsida; Ranunculales; Papaveraceae
Exons: 3
Source: RefSeq, a predicted model, not a curated record
UUUAUCACAUUUUCUUCUCCAGCCACUCUUAACAUCAGUAACUUGCCUUAAUUUUCUUGCUCUUUAUUACCAAAAUAGAGAGGUUUUUCAACACAGAUAAUGCAUUUGUUUCCCUAAUUUCCACAAUGUAUUUGUUCUGUUGAUGUUUAUGAUGGUUCACUAAUUCCGACUUAUUCUUUGGUAUUUUUAUGCAACUCAGGUUACAUGAAGAAAAUGACAAGGUUUGCGCAAUCAGGAUUUUGAGACCUGAUCUAUUAAUUGAUAUUGGAUCGUUUUUCUGAUAAUUUUGAAUAGUUUCAAGUUUUUCAAGUCAAGUUAGAUAUAGAUUUUUAGACCUCCAUCCGCAUCCGCUUGCUUUGGUUUUUUAAAUGGAAAUGCAAUUUCUUUUCUUUUCAGUCACUAUUAAUUUAAUCUUUUUUGUGCAUGAUAGCAAACAGAAUUGGUUUAUUCUUUUCUCUUCAGUUUAUCCACUUUGCUUUUUUGUUUUAAGACCCAAAUGCAGGUUUGAAAGUAGAAUUGGUUCAUUAUUUCUUUCCAGUUUUUUUUCCUUCUUAGUUUGAAGACGCAAAAAUGGAUUUUGCUAGGGAGAAAUAUACGAAUAACUGCAUCUACGAAAGCCACCAUUCAACAAAUGCAGGAAGUCGUAGAGAUUAAAUAGAAGUUUGUAAUUAUUUAUAAGGUUCUUUUGAUUGCAAAAAUAACCCAAUUUUGUGGGUGCAUGCACGCUGAAGUUCUUCACCAAUUGUGCACAGUGCCCGACUAGAUUAGGCAGUGGGAUCAUUAUAAGCAAGAAUUAGAGGGAUUGUGAAGAUGUUUCUACUACACAGUACACAACCCACAAAUCUAGAAGGAAAAUUGAGCAUGUGGACGGAAUCUUGGGUAUCAGGCAACGGGGCAAUCACAUACUAGAGGGAGAUAAAUCCUGAGUAUGUGGAAUCUUCUCAAUGGGCUUCAAAUUGUAAGGGUGACAUUAUUUUUACUUCAGGAGACGGCUCAAGUGGUAACCAUUUCGGUACUGACAAUCCUUUCAACUCAAGCAAGAAAAAAGACUCACUUUAACUUUAUGUACAACUGUACAUAUCAUUUAUCGCAGGUUUCAGAAAGAAGACAUAUGUCUUAAUAUUAGUGGUUGUUAUGUAGCAAAAGAAGUAGGUAAUGCUAUCUAUUUGGGCGCCUAACAUAAUUUUACUUAAUAAUUUUUAAUUUAGCUUUUGUGUAAUAAAUGUGUAGACUUGAGUUUAGUAAACUUUGUGGUUCUUCGCU